Molecule: non-coding RNA, 29 nt
Filed under: Mus musculus (house mouse)
Lineage: Eukaryota; Metazoa; Chordata; Mammalia; Rodentia; Muridae
Source: RNAcentral
UGGCAAACUUAAACCACUCAAGGGGCAGA